CAAAAAUUGCAUCCGCGACCGAAGACAGCAGGGGCCAGUGGCUUAAUCAUCCUGCCGAGGUGCGCAAACCGGCAGACUGCUCCUGUAGCUCACCUGCCCUUUGCCCAGCCUCGCUUCAAAAAGCGGGGCUUUUGAUUUGUUGAC
Molecule: regulatory RNA element, 144 nt
Organism: Gloeobacter kilaueensis JS1
Lineage: Bacteria; Bacillati; Cyanobacteriota; Cyanophyceae; Gloeobacterales; Gloeobacteraceae
Rfam family: Ribosomal protein L10 leader
About the family: This family is a putative r-protein leader autoregulatory structure found in B. subtilis and other low-GC Gram-positive bacteria.
Source: Rfam